Molecule: long non-coding RNA, 3490 nt
Filed under: Olea europaea (common olive)
Lineage: Eukaryota; Viridiplantae; Streptophyta; Magnoliopsida; Lamiales; Oleaceae
Description: long non-coding RNA (OEUR_LNC007432)
Source: RNAcentral
UGUUGUCCGCUGAUUGCCCAGCAGUACUCGUACGUAUGGUAAUAUGGUUUCUGUGGAUCAUUUCUUUGUUUUUGCCUUUUGUGAAAAAGGAUGUAUGGGUUUUUGUUUUUGGUGUGUAUUUGAUGGACUAUGUAUUGCAUCGGUGGAGCUACCUUAAGUGAAAUAUUAGAAAGAUAAUACAAAUUAUCCUUCACAUUUAAAAUUUUUGAUUUCAUGAUACUAUGAGUGAAAAAAAUCUUUAUGUUUGAAGGACCCGUCCUCUUUUGUUUGAUAAAUUGUUCUGCAUUACAAUUGCAUACAUUUAUUGUUUUUUUAAUCUGAAAUAAAGAAAACAUCAACAAAGAUGGAGAUUAUGGACAUGUUGUGCAGGUCGGUGAUGGUAUGGAUUUUACUUUUUCUUGGUUGAUGAUUUAGUAGCAUAAUUAAUUUGAUGGUUGUUUUAUGUGUAUGAUUGGUGAUGCAUGAUAUAAUGAGAUUUCAUAUCGUGUUAGUAAAUUCUUUCCAUGUUUGAAGGAGUUUCCACUAAAUUUACUAAUUCUGAUCAAUUUAAGUGUACAUGCUUAUGCAAAUUUUGGUGGCAGAGCCUACUGCACCAUAUGGAUCCUGGAUUUUGGUGAAAAGUUGGGAUCUAGUACUAAAUUGAAUGGAGAUACAUGUUUCGUGUAGCAGACUACAAAUUUACUGGGGACAAUUACUUUUUGUUUUAAUCGAAUUAUAUAUGCUUUGUCAAAAACAAAAGCCAAAAGAAACCAUAUUUCAUGUUUGUACUGGUGAUAAUUUUGUUUCUAUGCACGUAUGUUAGAGUUUCUGCAGUUGUGUUACAUCAAGUAUAUGUUUUUUUUUUGUUAAAAGUACGUGCAUUUUCCUUGUUGAUAUUCAGUAUUAGUCGCUUAGUUGUAUGUAUGAUUCAUAAACUUUAAUUUGACAUAAAUAAAGUAGUAUUGUAGAAAAAAUAAAUUUCUCAUAGGAAUCUAAAUUUCACAUUUGAUACUAGUCACUUUUAUGAGUGCACUUAUGUUAAUAAUAUUUGUGUUAUGAAUAAAUAAAUGUGGACCUUGUCCUUUUGUUCUUUGACUCGCCCUAUGAUGUUCUAACAUUAUUUAAAGUCUGUUGAUUUCACGUGUUUCUUAAUGACAUGUUAAAAUCAAGUUGUUCACUAAAUUGGACAAAUCAAAAUUAUACCUGACCUUUGUCGUGGGAAAAAAUAAUGAACAUCUCAACCUGCUUAGGGAUCUUUCGCAUCUUAAUAUACUGCUUGAACUUGACAACUUAUCGAAGUCCAUUUUCACAUUGCAUGAAAAUGGGAAACUAUCAACAGGUAACACUACAUUUGAAUACGUUUUUGGUUGAUAUAAUGAAAAUAUUUUGUUGUGGACAGUGGGUGGUUGGCAAUGGCAGUGGGUGAGAAAUGUCGAAACUGAGGCCGUGCCCGAUUAAUUUUGGGUUUGAUACAAACUAUUUUUGAUUUAAAAUGUUGUUCGUUAGGACAAUGUUUGUGGACAUGGACAUGUAGACAUGUGUAUUUUAAAAUUGUUUACAUUUAUAGAGUACAUAUUUAGUUCUCUAAUUAUAUUUUGAACCCAUCAUAGAUUCGUUUAUUCUUAGAAGUUUGUAUUUGGUUAUUUACAUUAAUUAUACUUACGAUGUGAACCCUUUUGCAAUAUGCACCUUACAAUCCAUAUGCUACAUUUGCAAGACGAUAGUGUAAUGAGACAUCCUAUAGAAAAGGACUUAGAGGGUGUUUGUUUUCACUUGUAAUUGUUUUUCGACUGUGAUGACUGGAUUUCCGUUGUUUUGUACCAAGUUCGUGUGUUGGGGCACCAUGCAUACGUAUCACAUGUGCUUGUUGAAAACUAUCGUUCCUGACAGUUAGCUGCAGGCAUUCUUGACAGAUGAGAGAUGGUACUGUCCUGCCAGACGAGUGCAGUCAUUUGUCGACACAGGUUUCGGUGACAGUGUCUCGACACAUGACUGUGGGCAGUGACGACAUGCACACGUGCGUUUCGAAAUAACAUGUAUGUCGAACAUUCAUAUCUCAUUGCCGGACGUAUUUUUGCACAUUCAAAAUAUUGUUAGUAACAUUUUUUUUAGUUCGACAUUGCAUGCACAAUUCGACAUAAUCUGUUCUUAUACGUUUGGGUAGACGAUCUGUUAUUAUACGUUUAUCGUAUUACUUGUUCCAAUUGAUGUGGUUGUAUGCUCUUCCGAAGUACGCUUGUUCUUUGAAAUAUUCAUUUGGUAUUGAUUUAUGGUCUGACCAUUAUCGUUUCAUGUGCAGAACAGAUGGAAUUUCAAUUUUUGGUGCCGGAGAAUGUACGGUUGCCCGCGCGCAUCCCGUAACGGAGCAACCUCAAGUACAUCAAAAUGGUGAUGGAUAACUUCGACGACCAACUGCGGGAUGACUUUUGGAACUGCUGCCUUGUGUUUCUUGCUGACAUUUCGGAGAUUCAGUUUUUCGGUCAACUAAUCCAGGCCCUUGUGUGCUGAGGGAUACGUUGCAAUAAGUCCCAUGAGUUGUAGUUCAACGUGCAGGGCCACCUUACCCGAUUUGGACUGCAGGAGUAUGCUAUCGUGACUGGACUGCAUGCUGACUCGUUUCCAAAGGGUGAUCGGUUGAGCAAAGCAUUGAAGAAAAGGAGGCUGUAGGAAAAGUAUUUCAAAUCGCUGGACAAGAUUUCAUGUGCCCAGUUGGAGAAGACGUUUGUCCGUGCUUCGACACCCCGGGCAGAUAGAUACAAGCUUGGACUUGCUCUGAUUGUUGAAGGAGUUAUCAUUGCUCCGCAUAAUAAUGUUGACAUUGAUGAGGAUACGCUCUCUCGUCGAUGACUUGGAGCUGUUUUUUUCAUACCCUUGGGCCAAAGUGGGGAAUAGGCGUUUGUUGAAUGGAUUCCGGGGUACUUCGGCACGUAAAAUGAGCGAUGCAAAGAUGAAGAACGAGAAGGAUGUUAGUUACACAAUUCACGAAUUUUCGAUCGUCAUGCAGGUACGAACAACAUUACGUUUAUGUGUUUUGUUUGUUAGUAUUGGAAGGGUAACGUACAUUAUUUGGAUGGAUACUUAUGCGACAUUUUUAUGUUUUUCGUCCAAAUUUUUAUUUUUGUCCGGACAGGUUUGGGCAUUUGAGGCCGUGCCCGAACUCGGCGAAUGCUUCGGUGAGCGGAUGGGUGAACGAUCGCCCCGACUUCUGUGUUGGACCUCUACGAAACAACCGCAGUAGCGUACGUAUGAUGCGUUCUUCAGGGAUGUACUCGUCAUGGACAUUUUUCAUUUCCGUUUCAAUUCUUUUGUUUUAUUGGGAAUAGUAUGCAAUAUAUUUUAAUUACCCGUUCCCCCCUGUUUCUACAGCUGCACGUGCACGCCACAUUGUGUCCCACGGGGGCCGAGCGUGAUCUGCCAUACAUCGCCAGUUUGGUGCCGUUCACCGAUUGUCCGGUGCAAUUUCUGGACGACCUCGCUAUGAGUGUUGUCGGGCCACAGUUCCAUGAGGCGG